Molecule: ribosomal RNA, 303 nt
Filed under: uncultured bacterium
Lineage: Bacteria
Description: partial 16S ribosomal RNA
Rfam family: Bacterial small subunit ribosomal RNA
Source: RNAcentral
AGCAGUAGCCGCGGGAAAACGAAGGGUGCAAGCGUUACUCGGAAUUACUGGGCGUAAAGCGUGCGUAGGUGGUGGUUUAAGUCCGUUGUGAAAGCCCUGGGCUCAACCUGGGAAUUGCAGUGGAUACUGGGUCACUAGAGUGUGGUAGAGGAUAGUGGAAUUUCCGGUGUAGCAGUGAAAUGCGUAGAGAUCGGAAGGAACAUCUGUGGCGAAGGCGACUAUCUGGGCCAACACUGACACUGAGGCACGAAAGCGUGGGGAGCAAACAGGAUUAGAUACCCCUGUAGUCCCUGUCUCUUAUAC